Molecule: ribosomal RNA, 321 nt
Filed under: uncultured Rhogostoma
Lineage: Eukaryota; Cercozoa; Thecofilosea; Cryomonadida
Also listed under: 2 other names
Description: SSU rRNA
Rfam family: Eukaryotic small subunit ribosomal RNA (bases 55-321)
Source: RNAcentral
GAUUUCUGGUAUAAUGUACCUGGCCCGCGCCCGUCAGGGUUGUGAGUGCCGGCGCGCGUUUACCAUCCUUCUAGAAAACAGGCCUGUCAUUAACUUGGUGGGUUUGCGAUCUAGAUCUUUUACUUUGAAAAAAUUAGAGUGUUUAAAGCAGGCUUUUGCUAUGAAUACAUUAGCAUGGAAUAAUAAUCUAGGACUUCGGUUCUAUUUUGUUGGUUUCUAUAACUGAAGUAAUGAUUGAUAGGGAUAGUUGGGGGUGCUAGUAUUGGCCGGCCAGAGGUGAAAUUCUUGGAUUCGGUCAAGACUAACUUAUGCGAAAGCAUU